UUCCUUUUUUGGAUGAUGGGCACACUAAGGGGACCGCCUAUGAUAAAUAGGAGGAAGGAGUGGACGACGGUAGGUCCGUAUGCCCCGAAUCCUCUGGGCAACACGCGGGCUACAAUGGCUAAGACAAUGGGUUCCGACACCGAAAGGUGGAGGUAAUCCUCUAAACUUAGUCGUAGUUCGGAUUGAGGACUGUAACUCGUUCUCAUGAAGCUGGAAGCGUAGUAAUCGCAUUCACAUCGCGCGGAACGGCCAA
This 253-nucleotide ribosomal RNA is filed under the name uncultured bacterium. RNAcentral describes it as "partial 16S ribosomal RNA". It matches the Rfam family "Archaeal small subunit ribosomal RNA", at positions 1074 to 1319 of the family's 1478-position model. The record is from RNAcentral.